AACCUCCGCAAUGUGAGAAAUCGCGACGGGGGGAUCCCAAGUGCCAUUCUUAACGGGAUGGCUUUUCAUUAGUGUAAAAGAGUUUUUAGAAUAAGGGCUGGGCAAGACCGGUGCCAGCCGCCGCGGUAACACCGGCAGCUCUAGUGGUAGCAGUUUUUAUUGGGCCUAAAGCGUCCGUAGCCGGUUUAAUAAGUCUCUGGUGAAAUCCUGUAGCUUAACUGUGGGAAUUGCUGGAGAUACUAUUAGACUUGAGACCGGGAGAGGUUAGAGGUACUCCCAGGGUAGAGGUGAAAUUCUGUAAUCCUGGGAGGACCGCCUGUUGCGAAGGCGUCUAACUGGAACGGUUCUGACGGUGAGGGACGAAAGUUAGGGGCGCGAACCGGAUUAGAUACCCGGGUAGUCCUAACUGUAAACGAUGCGGACUUGGUGUUGGGUGGCUUUGAGCUGCUCCAGUGCCGAAGGGAAGCUGUUAAGUCCGCCGCCUGGGAAGUACGGUCGCAAGACUGAAACUUAAAGGAAUU
RNAcentral lists this ribosomal RNA (521 nucleotides) under uncultured bacterium. RNAcentral describes it as "bacterial SSU rRNA". It matches the Rfam family "Archaeal small subunit ribosomal RNA", at positions 345 to 866 of the family's 1478-position model. The record is from RNAcentral.